GAAUUGCGAAAAGUCGUGUGAUUUGCAAACAGUCGUGAAUCAUUGAAUGUUUGAACGCAACUUGCGCCUGGUGUUUGUGCAGCAGGCGGUGUCGUAGGAGGGUUCUUUCUACCUCUCAUGCCCCGUCAGGGGCAUGAUGAAGUGCGGGUUCCGCCUCCUAGCGGGGUGGUCCCGUGAAAAGCAGGUGGUCGCCUUCAGGUCACGCAGCGCAGUGGUUCUCCCUCGGGAGAUUUCAGCGUUGUGUACCCGCUUCGCGGCCACACACCACUAAAAUCUCGAACCUCCUAUCGACACAGACUACCCGCUGGAUUUAA
RNAcentral lists this unclassified non-coding RNA (314 nucleotides) under uncultured fungus. Its description in RNAcentral is "sequence contains ITS1". The stretch from base 1 to 105 matches the Rfam family "5.8S ribosomal RNA", at positions 50 to 154 of the family's 154-position model. Lineage: Eukaryota; Fungi. The record is from RNAcentral.